GCGGGUGGGACCCACGGCGAAUGGUUCAUCAAUGCUUCAAAAAAGAAUAUAUACGAUUGCAUUGCAUAUACUAACGGAUGCGAUCAUACCAGCACUAAUGCACCGGAUCCCAUCAGAACUCCGCAGUUAAGCGCGCUUGGGCGAGAGUAGUACUAGGAUGGGUGACCUCCCGGGAAGUCCUCGUGUUACAUCCCUCUUUUAUGUUUAACCUUUUUUUUUUGGUU
This 224-nucleotide ribosomal RNA is filed under the name Arabidopsis thaliana (thale cress). Lineage: Eukaryota; Viridiplantae; Streptophyta; Magnoliopsida; Brassicales; Brassicaceae. The record is from RNAcentral.